Polyodon spathula (Mississippi paddlefish) is the source of this 78-nucleotide small nucleolar RNA. The record is from RefSeq and is a predicted model, not a curated record. NCBI's taxonomy places the organism in Eukaryota, Metazoa, Chordata, Actinopteri, Acipenseriformes, Polyodontidae.
UUACAAUGAUGACUUUUGAAUUUCUUCACCUGAAUCUCAAUGAAGAUACAAAACACGAGCUUUUUAACCCUGAGUAGC